This 28-nucleotide small RNA is filed under the name Bombyx mori (domestic silkworm). Its description in RNAcentral is "ovarian small RNA-23219". Lineage: Eukaryota; Metazoa; Arthropoda; Insecta; Lepidoptera; Bombycidae. The record is from RNAcentral.
UAGUUUCUGAGGUCUAUUCUUACGGUGG